Molecule: unclassified non-coding RNA, 2147 nt
Filed under: Hevea brasiliensis (rubber tree)
Lineage: Eukaryota; Viridiplantae; Streptophyta; Magnoliopsida; Malpighiales; Euphorbiaceae
Source: RNAcentral
AAAAAUGUAUGGUAACUUGAUUUUUACUCUUCAAAUGUAGAAAAAUUGCCAAAGAAUCAAAUUACAAAGCAGGAGAUUGAUACAAAAUCAAGAGGCAAACAUGUUUGCCAUUAAGGAGAAGCCAGGUGAAAUAGUACUAAAUAAAUGAUUAAAAAUAUAUGAUAAAACUAACAUGAAAAAAUGAAAGGAAGGCUUUAAAUGAUAAAAUCUUAAUGUUUGCUGCCAGUAUCACAUGAGUUCUAGAGAGCACAUGAUUCAAUCUUCAAUCUUCAUCAUCUGAGUUAAAUACAAUCUUUUUAGCCUUUGGAGCAUCUGCAGAUAUUUCUCUGAAGUGGGCCCCAUAAAGCUUGGACUCCUUUUUCUUUACAUGAGUGCCAAAUUUCAAAAGAGCAGAUGGCACAACUUGCCCAGCUUCACGGAGAACAUUCACAAGCUCUCCAGCAAGCGCCUUAUUUUGAUGCAUGAAAAACGUGUGGGCAACACCCUUCUUACCAGCCCGUCCAGUCCUUCCAAUUCUGUGGACAUAAUCUUCUGUAGUGAGUGGAAAACUAUAAUUGAUCACCACUUCAACAUCUGGAACAUCCAAUCCUCGAGCAGCAACAUCAGUAGCUACCAUUAAAGGACAGUUGCCCUUCUUGAACAAUGAUAGCGCCUUUGUUCGUUGAUCUUGUGCUUUGUUGCCAUGUAUAGAAACAACAUUCCAACCUCUACAACAUCAAAAAAGAGCAAGGAAGAAAGGUGAAGAGAGAAAAGGGGGCCAGGGGAAUAAUCAAUAGCUUCCCAAUUGUAUUUUUCAGCAACUAGCUUCAUAGCCAGAUUUGGCUUGUCUUAAAUAUAAUUCAAUUUCAAAUUACCUAGUUUUCAGCAUUCCUUCAAGACGAGCAGCUUCCUUCUGGUACAAGGCAAAAACCAAUACUCUGUUCCUGAUUGCAAGUAUAGGAAUUUAAAGCUCAUUUGGUUCUAGCUUCAAAAUCAGAAACAAAAUUGGAAUUGAAGCCAAAUAAAAUGACAAAUAUAAUGACUAACUUCCACACAUGUUUUUUUUUUCCAGUUGGUUCAAUUUUGUUCAGCUCAAAAUUUACUAAAAUCAAAAUAACCAAAAUUCUCAUACAAUAGAGUCAAAUUGAACCAAAUUCUAUGUGAUAAUUUGAAUCAAAUUCAUUUGGUUAUUAAUUUCAAUGGUUCUUUUUUCGCUGAUCUAAAAUGCAAAUUGGCUUCAACUUUGGGUUGAAUUUUUCAUAAAUAACAACAUAGAAAUAAAUAAAUAAGAGUAUACGAUUUAUAAAAUGAAAUAGCUAUUUUUUUAAUUCAGUUACUUGAAAUCCAUAAAAAUUGAAAUUGAAUCAAACUAAAACAACAAAAAUUUAUCUGUAUGAUUUUAUUUUUCAGCUUAAAACAAAUAAGGCUCACACUUAGCUUGGCAUGCAAUUGGAAUCUAACUCCUACUAUGGUGGUUGGCUUAUCAAAAUAUGGUGAAAUCAGAAUGAAUAAAGAUAUAAUGAAAAUAAUUUUUAUAACAAACUAAGGCAUAGUUGCUCAAAGAACAAAAUGCAAUAUCCUUUAACAUUUUUUAUUAAUCAGUUUUUCAAACUCCAUCUAUGGAAAAAAAAAUUUAUACUAAGUUGAACUAAACAUAGCUUCUGAUGCAAGUCUGGCUGAAGCAAGUAACAACUAGUUUUUCCACAACUUUAUCAUAUCAUUGUUGUAUGGAUACUAAAAGAUUUAUCAUUGGGUUGUUGCCUUCUUGCAAUGUGCUGCAUCUAAGCAUGAUGAAGAGAACAAUUGGCAAGGGAGGCAUUCCCAAAAACAAUGCAUCAUUUUGGCACUUGAUUGUGGCGCUAAGUAGGCAAGGGUUCUCAAAUUUUUCUAAACAGUUGUGAAUAAUGAAGUCAACCAAAGAAGCAAAAGCAUCCCUUCUAAGUAACAUACCAGAUUAAUACCCAAAGAAGGUGAGAUAUAUGCAAGAUCCAACACUAAAACGAAUAGAUGCUGGUGAUGUACGAUAAAGAGAAAGAACCAAGAAAUUAAGGACCAAUCCUUGAAAAGAAAACUAAUUCUCUAAAAUAUUAUUGAUCUUAUAAAAUUGUCAUAAGAAAACUUGUCUAGUAACAAUAGAAACCCUCAGUCUUAUUUAUAGAAUUAGGAAU